GAUGAACGCUGACAGAAUGCUUAACACAUGCAAGACCACUUGAAUUUGGGUUUUUAACUUCGGUUUGGGUGGCGGACGGGUGAGUAACGCGUAAAGAACUUGCCUCACAGCUAGGGACAACAUUUGGAAACGAAUGCUAAUACCUAAUAUUAUGAUAAUAGGGCAUCCUAUAAUUAUGAAAGCUAUAAGCGCUGUGAGAGAGCUUUGCGUCCCAUUAGCUAGUUGGAGAGGUAACGGCUCACCAAGGCGAUGAUGGGUAGCCGGCCUGAGAGGGUGAUAGGCCACAAGGGGACAGGGGAGCGGCCCUUACUCAUACGGGAGGAAGCAGUGGGAAAUAUUGGAAGAUGGACCAAGAGUCUGAUGCAGCAAUUCUGUGUGCACGAUGAAGUUUUUCGGAAUGUAAAGUGCUUUCAGUUGGGAAGAAAGAAAUGACGGUACCAACAGAAGAAGUGACGGCUAAAUACGUG
Molecule: ribosomal RNA, 467 nt
Filed under: uncultured bacterium
Lineage: Bacteria
Description: partial 16S ribosomal RNA
Rfam family: Bacterial small subunit ribosomal RNA
Source: RNAcentral